Pan troglodytes (chimpanzee) is the source of this 1980-nucleotide RNA transcript. RefSeq lists it as uncharacterized. The record is from RefSeq and is a predicted model, not a curated record. The transcript is spliced from 6 exons. Lineage: Eukaryota; Metazoa; Chordata; Mammalia; Primates; Hominidae.
GUUGUCCCUCAGACGGCGCUGCUGCAGUGCGUCUUCGCACUUACGCGGAGCGGUAAUGUGAGGAAGCCUCCCGCCAAACAGUAGAGGGAGGAGGAGGAGGGGAGAGGCCAGAGAGAGAAGCGGCUUUCGGGAAGGAAAGUGUGAUCUAGGAGGUGGAAUAGUGCUCUCCAAACUUUGACCUGAGGUGUGACUAUUGAAUGACCCUCUAUUUGGAUUUGGAUUACACAAAGUUUAACGUUUUUUGGAAAAAUCCUACCUAGGUAAUGUGUCGUUCUCAAUGCAACAUGUCAGGCAGCUUAUGAUGCCAAUUUGUCCCAUGCCUCGAGGUCUUUAGGAAAACGGUGACUCUGGAGCACAGCCCUGGAUCCCUGAUGGCAGGUGGAUGAAUCUGCUCCCCACCUGGAUGCUGCUAGUCCUUUCUCCAGGCUCCGUGACUGAAAAUGUGCUUUACUUGGCAAAAGCUGUUUCUCCUCAGAACUCUAGAAAUCAGAUCUUGGCCCACCUCUUUCAGGCUGCACAGGAAGUGUUGUACUGACAUCUGCUUCUGGUGAGGCCUCAGGAAGCUUCCACUGGUGGCGGAAGGUGAAGAGAAAGCCAGCAUUUGCAAGAAAAAUCUGAAGUUAAGUUUUGCUUAUGUUUGCAAUCAAACAAGGUUUAGGUCACUUAAGAGGCCUAACUUGUUUUGUCUGCUCAGAGAUUCUUCAGGCCUGGCCUCCACUUUAAUUUACUUGAAGAGCAUCGAAUAUGAAUCUGCAUAAUUUCAGUGAAACUAUAGAGGAAGAAUGGAGGUGGUCAAGGGGUUUGAAGGCACGACUAUUCAUAUGAUUUGGGAGAGGUUGCUGAAUCUCCAGGAGAUACCCUUGUGAGCUUCAGACUGGGGUCUGUGUUUGGGACUGGAAGACCCCAGGACAUUGGAGAGAGGAGCAAAGCCUAGCAUGAGCCCCAGAAGACGCCACCGUGCCGGUGCACCACCUGGGGACUUUGGCUUAUGUGGAUUCUGUUUCAGUAGAUCUGGGUGGGAUCGAGAUCUUUUAUUUCCAACCAACACCCACGUCCCAGGACCUCACUGGAAAGAGGCGGGCGGGCGCGGGGAGCCUUCCUGAGGUUCCUGGUUCUCAAGAGCCGGGUGUAAGGAAGGAAAAUCAAAGAUAGAAUUUAGAUGUAUGUAUUGGAGGGGAAUAUUGGAGGAAGGGGGAGCAGGGGAGCACGCCCAGCCUCCUCUCCUGUCUUUCCCGCCCCCUUGUCUAAACUCAAAACCGAGUCCGGGCGCGCCUUGCAGGGCGCCCGAGCUCUGCAGCGGCGUUGUGGGCUGAACCCAUCCGGCACAAACUGCGGGCCACUGGCCCCUCACACCUGGGAGUUUGCGGCGCUGGCCUGCAGCCCGGGGCCCACGUGGCGGAAGCUUUCCCGGGCGCGCGCUGCGCAGCUCCGCGGGGCCGGGGAGACACCGCUCGGGAGUCCUCCGCUCGGCUGCAGAAUCUUUAUCAGCUGCACUUUACAGCAGCCCCGGGCUAGGACGCCAGGCGGCUGAGGGCCCUAUCCAGGUGCGCCGCCGCACCAUGGAUCACCGCGCCCCGUCCCGCAGUCCCGCCAUGGCCUGGGGAGGCCCGAAGCCCGGGGACAGUGGCCGGCCCAUCUCCGGCUCCGCGGACCCCCGGCUCAGGCGGGAGGGCAGGCGGGUCCCUGCAGGCCCCCAGGGAGCCCGGGAGCCUCUCUCUGGCGUCAUUCAGUCCCGGGGCAACCUGAAGCGCGGUAGAUAUUGGAGAGGGGGCGUCUGUGGGGGGGACCUGGCGUCAUUACUGAUGGCUAGCAGGGAGGAGGGAACGGGUUGUCACCUCGGCCUCAUAAGGCCGUCAGUGAGUAGCCCAGGGCCUCUUCAGGCAUUUUUGAAACUGGAUUAACUAGGGGGGAAAUUGUAGCACUGAAGCCACCGUGACUGUCUUUUGCGCUGUGUGGAAACUCCGGUAAAACUCUUUGGGC